AGGUGAAGAAAGGGCCGGGCAAGACCGGUGCCAGCCGCCGCGGUAAUACCGGCGGCUCGAGUGGUGGCCACUAUUACUGGGCUUAAAGCGUUCGUAGCUGGUCUGUUAAGUCUCUGGGGAAAUCUACUGGCUUAACCAAUAGGCGUCUCAGGGAUACUGGCAGACUAGGGACCGGGAGAGGUGAGAGGUACUCCAGGGGUAGGAGUGAAAUCCUGUAAUCCUUGGGGGACCACCUGUGGCGAAGGCGUCUCACCAGAACGGCUCCGACAGUGAGGGACGAAAGCUGGGGGAGCAAACCGGAUUAAAUACCCGGGUAGUCCCAGCCGUAAACGAUGCGCGUUAGGUGUAUCGGUGACCACGAGUCACCGAGGUGCCGAAGAGAAAUCGUGAAACGUGCCGCCUGGGAAGUACGGUCGCAAGGCUGAAACUUAAAGGAAUUGGCGGGGGAGCACCACAACAGGUGGAGCCUGCGGUUUAAUCGGACUCAACGCCGGAAAUCUCACCGGAUAAGACAGCUGGAUGAUAGUCGGGCUGAAGACUCUACUUGACUAGCUGACAGGAGGUGCAUGGCCGUCCUCAGUUCGUA
RNAcentral lists this ribosomal RNA (586 nucleotides) under uncultured Methanomicrobiaceae archaeon. RNAcentral describes it as "bacterial SSU rRNA". It matches the Rfam family "Archaeal small subunit ribosomal RNA", at positions 428 to 1013 of the family's 1478-position model. Lineage: Archaea; Methanobacteriati; Methanobacteriota; Methanomicrobia; Methanomicrobiales; Methanomicrobiaceae. The record is from RNAcentral.